RNAcentral lists this non-coding RNA (90 nucleotides) under Pseudomonas trivialis. The record is from RNAcentral. Lineage: Bacteria; Pseudomonadati; Pseudomonadota; Gammaproteobacteria; Pseudomonadales; Pseudomonadaceae.
CUUGAUGGUGGCUGUGCGUAGGGCACCUUCGGGUGCGCCGGCUUUGCGCCGUUCCCCCGGUCUACUAACCUGCGUACAGCUGCCACCCCU